This 3947-nucleotide long non-coding RNA is filed under the name Triticum aestivum (bread wheat). RNAcentral describes it as "long non-coding RNA (TAES_LNC007296)". Lineage: Eukaryota; Viridiplantae; Streptophyta; Magnoliopsida; Poales; Poaceae. The record is from RNAcentral.
UGAGAGUGAACUUUGCCGAGCUAGCUAGCUAAUGAUGGCGGAGUGUGGUAGAUGAGUGAGAGGGCUGCGGCGUCGAGGUCCGAGGGGCGGCGAUGUGGGUGGGUUGCUUUGCCUUGUGUUCAGGAAGAUUUUCCUCAUUGCUCUCUGACCAUCACCUGGUUCAUCUGUGAUUUGGCAGGGAAAAGAUAAGGGAUGAGAGGCACGCGUGUGAGCAGGUGGAACAAUGCAAGCGCCUCAGUGACCCGUCAGUCUCCAACAAGGGUUUUGAACUGAAUGCUCAUCAGAUUACCCAGGUUUGGUUUUAUUGUAUGGGUGCUUUGUUCUUUAAUUUGCAGAACAUGUUUGAACAACGUUUCGGCCUUCACGUAUUAGUAUAGUACCCUAACUGUCGCAUAAAAGUGGAAGAAAGUAAGUGCAGUACCAUAUUAUAAGCACUGUCAAGUUAUCUGCAUUGCUCGUUUGGUUAUUGCUUUGAGAGAGUCAUUCUUCACGGAUUGCCCGGUACCAGCCAAUAUUAAACACCCUUGUGUAUCUGAAUUGUCGCACGGUUGUGCUAGAUAGUACUGCAUUGGAUGUUUAUGUUUGAUAAUUGAGUUGUACUUUUCAUACAUAUCUGUUGGUAGAGCCGUUCUUACUUCAUUCAAAGGCUUGAAAUGCUACCGUUGCAAUGUUCUCCACAAGAUAUAGAUAUUUUUUCUGAGGUCAAGUAGGCACAGGGAAGUAUUAGCAUCAAAUAGCCGGUGUGGCAUGUUGUAUGCAUGGAGGGUACACCAUCAAGAUGUCUAUAUGUUGCAAAAGCAAAGAUACAUAUCUUGCUUGGAGAGUUAUCUCUUCAGCUAUGCUUUAAAUUGGCGGGUUACUAGGACUUAAACCUCAAAUUGAAAAGACUCUCGGGACUACUAGGGCAACCUUUUGGUAUAAUGCAUGAACCAACUUGCCAAAAGCACCUUUAACUUGAACAAAUGUUUUUGACAGGAGCAAUUUUUUCUUCCUGUAACAGGAGAUUGGGUUAAUCUCCACCAUCAUCGACAGGGAGAAAUCAACGGAAUCAGUUGUUUUGUGACUGAUUCCAUCGCAUCUCUGGUGUACACGAUUUUGAUUUCUGAACAAUGUCAUUGUGUAGGUACUGUCCAAUUAAACGAAGUGUAUAACUCCAGCCGGCAACAGCGAGAUUAGGAAUUAGUAUUACGCAUUAGUUGCUGACGAUUUUGGUUAAGCUGAUCAAUCUUGUUGUCUGUUGGUGGUGGAGGUCAGGUCCGCCGUCAGCAGGGGUUGUUUUCCUGGGUUAUGAGCUGAUUGCUAGGGAGGUGUACACUAGAGGACAUGUUCACCACUGAUAAUUCAAUGGAGUGUGUAGACUGAUAUAGUACCUACUACCUACUCAAAGGAGGAAAGGUCUAAGUCCCAGGUGAAUCUGUGCUUCUUUUGAACCUUCUCUCUCUAGCAUAUCCCUUUGUUUCACCAAACUGUUGUAGUAUGGGGAUUAUCUUAACAAGAGCACUUUUAUUUUUGUCACAUAUUUAUAUGGGUAAAGUUUUCGCAGUUAAUAAGUUGUUCCAAAGAGUGCUUAGCCUGAUGCUUUGAAGAUCAAGUUUCAGCGUGGCUUACAAUGUUAGAUCAGUUUGAGUUUUUGUACCAAGUUGAAAGCCUAAUGCUCCAAAUGGUACAUUCUAAUUUUAUAACUAUCCCUUAUUUUCUUAAUCUGUAAAUGACAAACCACCCGUAUGCUCUCUAAAUUCAGGGUAAAACUGAACCUAAAUUCAGAUAUAUUUUGAUGUAAUCAUACAUUAGUUGCAACUAGAUUACAUGAGCAUAUCAGACUAUAUGGUCUCAUAGACCUUUAGAAGUUGUUGAUAUUCUCUAUUUUUGGCCACAUCAUUUCUGUAAAAAUAGUAGACUCAAGCUUGUACUGUCAAACAGAGUUGCUAUUGUAUUGAUGCCUUGGAAUGUUGUUAAAUCAAGUAAUGCAGCUGAAUUUGUCUGCUACAUGUUAAUCUUGCUCUUUGAUACUUGUUCACAAAUUGUUUACUUGAUGCUUGAUGGCAACUGCUAUUCUUACAAGACUAUCAAUCUGAGAUCAUAACUCAGAAAAAUGAGAUGUGCACAUAUGUUUAUAUUUUGAUUUACUAAUGGUUUCCUUGAUGUGAAUGUUUUCUUGCAUUAUCUGAUUUCUAAUCUGCAGUAAAUGUGACACAAGUUUAUCAUUUCUCAUUGUAUGGAGUGAACCGAGACAUCAACUAGCUGGACGUGGAAGUGUUGUUCCUGAAGGUACUGAAAUUGGAGCGGACUUCUCAGGCUCAAUUAUCGUUUUUGUACUGAAUAGUUGCAUGCAUAACGAAGGUAGAUGUUUGAACUAUGAAUCUGUUUUGCAGGAGAAGUAUGAGGUUGUGCUUGACAAGAUCUCCAGGCUGGAGGAGAUGGCUUCUCUGUUCAUUUAUAUUCUCCUUGAAGGUAAGUACAGUGUGCAAUACUCUCUAUCUUUUGGAGAAUAACAAAAAACCAACUUCAGUACUCUCUUAAGACAACCAUGUGUAUUAUACAUGGCUCGGACAUGCUGGCGGAUGUCCGCUAAGUAUUUUGGGAAGGGAAUGAACAACUCUUUCAGAAUAGCAAACAAGUGCUACAAUAUAAGGAAUAAGUACAUACAUCUUAUAUAUAUUUUUCACCUUGAAGAGCACAUUACAUUUGUUACGAGUUGAAACAAUUUGUGUAGUUUAUAUUGAAAAGGCAUCAUGAAGGUGUUGUAGAUGUUUUUUUAAAUAAUCUGAUAUCUUUUGAUUUAAAUCACAUAGCACAAACGUAUUUUGCUAAAAAAAAGGGCAACCUGGUGCAUGUAGCUCCCGCUUGCGCAGGGUCCAGGGAAGGGUCCGACCACUUUGGGUCUAUAGUACGCAGCCUUUCCCUACAUUUCUGUAAGAGGCUGUUUCCAGGACUUGAACCCAUGACCUCAUGGUCACAAGGCAGCAGCUUUAUAAAAAUAAUAAUAUUAGAACUAGGCGUAUAUUCUCUUUAGCUACGCCCUCUGUCCCAAAAUAAGUGUCUCGACUUUGUAUGAGACACUUAUUUUGGGAUGGGGGAAGUACAUUAUUAUAGUAGUUGUAAAUACUAAAUAGAAAACUUUCAAGUCUUCCAUUUUUUCCAAACUGUUCAUCGUAUGAGACAUAACAAAAAGCAUUUGAUCCAUUGAUGUGCAAUACCAGACUCUAUACUAACUUAUAUUUUUGCUCCACAUAAUUAAACCUGUCAAUAAUCAAUCUACUCUGUGAAAAUGAAGGCUUGCAACUAUUAUAUGACAACAAUGUUGUUUUUGGUACAUUCUCCUUCAGUUAUGUGCAAUUUGCGUUCGAUUCCAAUUUGCUGGUUUACAAAUCUUAUUUAUUUGUUUCUAUGUCAAAUGAAGUAUGAGUUGCUAUGUAACAUUAAAAAAACUCUGUUUGUCCAAUCCUUUGUUGUGAUGUAUUUGUAGCAUGAGAUGUCGGAUUCAGAGCAACAAGGCGACUAAAUGAUGGGGUUAUGGCAAGGAGGCACACAUAUGGAUGAUCGGUGAGGUCGCUAGAGCUUAUGAGAGGGGAAUGGAUUCUGUCGCCACGAUGUUGAAUGGGACGCGCACCACUUUUUUUGUACCUAUAUUAAAGUAUACUUGUGUGAUGAGCAGCUACAGCUUGUGUUUGCAAAUAUGUUCCUUUUUAGCUUUAACCAUUUUUUGUGAAGAGAAUAUUUUGUAAACCAGUGCAAACUUUGCCUAAAUUACCAUCCAUUUGGCAAAAUGUUAAAGCAGAUUAGAUCAUUCCUCGCAAUAAUCAUUGGAGUUAAGUUUCAAUCCAUUGAUUCUAUAUGUCCUGUUCAGUACCUUUCGUGCCAAGGGGAAGUGUUUGUGUGCACUCCGAAUACUAAUGCUAGAUGUUCUCUUCAAAAGCAAAAUUAAAAUGAUUAUAUUUGGACAUUUG